Peromyscus californicus insignis is the source of this 2953-nucleotide long non-coding RNA. RefSeq lists it as uncharacterized. Lineage: Eukaryota; Metazoa; Chordata; Mammalia; Rodentia; Cricetidae. The transcript has 4 exons. The record is from RefSeq and is a predicted model, not a curated record.
CGGCCACCGAGAGGCGGGUCUCCAGCCCCUCUUCCCCCUUCCCGUCCCGUCCUGUCCUGCCCCGUGGUCUUCACUCCUGAAACACCUUCUGCUCUCGUGGCUGAGUUAUUUUUUCUAGACCAAAACAAAAUAGGAAAUUCCCCGGGAGAAUAGUUAAAUAUUUUCAUGUCCUUUAACAACACCACCCCCCCCCCACACUGCCCCACGUUGACUGUGUCGCAUGAAUUUUAUAACCAAGACAGUUUUGGGCGGUUGCAUGAAUACUCCCGGUGUCGGAAGCCGCCGCAAGAACAAGAACUUUCGUACAGCCAACAACGAAUCAGAAAGGCGUUUGUGUUUCCGCAAGCUUUUCACCAACAAAACUGUCUUUGAUGAGAUAUGACUAGGAGAACAUCAUUAAGCUGAACUCCACUCUCCUGUUUAAUGACAGUGAUAAAGCAAGACACCGCUCUUCUGGCCAAGCUCCCAAGUAUAACGUCCUUCUGCCCUUUCAGAAGGUAGUACCUGUACAUUCCCAUGAUGACCUGCUCCCUAUUUUCAAACUGGGAAGUUUCUCAAACUGAAGUGGAUGUGAAUCACCUACAUAUCUUGAACAUUGCCUAGUGACAACUUGUGGAGGAAAGGGUUUAUUUCAUUGUAAAGUUGUAGUCCAUCAUGAAGGAAAGUUGAAGCCGGGACUCCAGGAAGGAACCGAAAGGCACAAACUGAAGCAGAGACCAUGGAGGAAUGCUGCUUCCAGGGCUUGCUCUCCAAGGACUAAAUUGAGGGAGAUUCUAUGAAAUUCCUGUCCAUUAUACAUAAAACUCAUCAAGAUUCUGUAUGGAAAGCAAAGAGAGACUGAGAAGAUGCCACUGAUGGAAGACUGGGCACAGAGGAAGGCUAUAAAAGAGCGUCCUGGAAUGCAUCCCAGAUAACAGAAGAAUGUUAGUGGUAAAAUAUGAAUAAAGCCUGUAACUUAGUGCUAUUAUAUAAAUGUUAAGUUCCUUAUUUUGUUAAAUAGGGAUGUAGCAAAUGCUAGCAUUGGAAGUUGGACAAAGGGCAUAUAAGAACUCUGUACUGUUUAGAAAACUUUUCUUUAAAAAUUAUUGCAAAAUGCAUUUUAAUUUAUAUUAUCACCUCUGUUAAAAUCUGAAUGUUUACUUAUUUUGUAGAAAAAAAUAUAAUCUUGCAUUACAAAUGUUGUAUUUGUCUAUCUUUUAUUCUUCCUUGAAGAAAAAAAAUUACAGCACUUGCUAUCCAUUUUGCCACAAUCAUAUUCAGACCUUACUCAACCUUUAGUUAAUGUUUAAAUGAAAACUAUAAUAAUAUUUUAAUGCCGUAGUUAAUCAAAACUUCCUGUCUCUUCUGUGGAAUUAAGUGUAAUGGAUUUUCUGAGCUUCUAUUAACUCUUCGAGUUUAUAAGGCUGCCACCUAGUUAUCUGGUGGCAGAGUGUUCAGAGAAAUUUAAAGGAACUGCUACAAGUACCUAAUUAAUCCUUACAAUGUUGAGAUAAUCUGAUUCAUUAAAAGAACAAUGUGUGCCUGGCACUGAACUAGAAAUUUUUAAUUACCAUUUUGUACUUUGCCGAUAACUUGAUCUUCAGUGGGGGAAAAAACAGAAGAAAGAAAAGUGACUCUUCUAGGUUACAUACUAAAAACGUUAAAACACAGACUUGAAUGAAACAGAGUAACAGAUAAAUGUAAGAAUUAAUUUUUGACAUUUUGAGAUCAUAUUUCCCAGAUUAUUGAUUCUAAAAAGAAUUUCAAUAAGAGCUCCUCGUUUUAUCUGUAUAACACUUAUGUUUUACUAGCAAAUACAAAUUUCUUGAGACAGUAAAUUGUUUAAGCCAAAGAGCAGGUUAAAACUGAUUUUUUAAAUAAGAAUUAAGUUUUCUGCUGUUACCCUCCACAUAUUUUCCUUCUAGCCAGAAGUUGCAUAUUUUCAAAGAUUUGUAUUAGGACAUGUUAACCAUUGAAUAGUUUACUAUUUAAGGAGUGUGUAUGGAAACCUAGGAUGCCGCACCUCAUGUUGAACGUUAAAGUUUUUUUUUUUCUUUCUGCAGAGUUACUACUUUUACAUAAAGUUAAUAUUGUGGGUGUAAGCUUACCUAUAUCAAAACUUCUUUUGAAAACUUUUCAGAGAUAAGCAGACUUGCAGGUAUUUCUGCAUACUUCUAUUCACGAAUACCUGGUAAAUUAACUCUCAUUUGCAAAGCUAGCAUUUCCCAGGGCUAAAAAAAUUGAAUUAUUUCACAAGGUUUAUCAUUCACCCAACUCAAUAUUCUAUUAGUUACAUUGUGCUUUUGAUCUAAAAUAAAAAAAGUUGUUUGACAGAGACAGCUCGAAAGUUCUCCUUAGUGGGAUGAGGUAGAAAAAGAUCUAAGAAUAGUUCUAAUAUAAAAGGAUUCUGGAGGAUGGAUGUGAGGUACAUAUUUCUGUGGAGUUAUCAGUACUUAUUAAAUGACAGACAUUCUUGCAGUGUUCAGGUUUGUAUUUUUCCUUACUUUUCCUAUUGCACAUAAUUGGGGAUAAAUUUUUUCACUCAUUAAAAUAAAUACUUGUCCAGAGUAGGAGGAUGUAUUUUAAUUAUGUAACUUAAAAAUAUAUACACGUAUAUGUGGGUAUAUGUAUGUGUGUGUCAGUACUAAGAAGUUGAUUCAAUAUUCAACCUGAGAAUUUUGUUUUAUUUUUGUUUUGAAAUAGGGUCUCUAUAGCUGAGGCUGGCACGACACCAAGCUCAUAGGUGGAUUUUCUAUAAAAUUGUGUUUAGUUUCUUAAUUUUCCUAAGGGCUCUGUUGAUUACUAAGAGCAGCUAAGAAUUAGUUCCCAAGGGAUAUAAAAGGACAGUGGAAGGAUUUAAUCUCAAGCAUUAAGCAACCAGAACUGGGCAUCAGGCAAAGAUGGUUAUUCCAAGUCCCUGGAAAGGAAAUGAGGGAAGACAUGUCAACAUUCAGGGAAGAGGAUCUGGAAAAUG